Mastomys coucha (southern multimammate mouse) is the source of this 401-nucleotide long non-coding RNA. RefSeq lists it as uncharacterized. The transcript is spliced from 3 exons. The record is from RefSeq and is a predicted model, not a curated record. NCBI's taxonomy places the organism in Eukaryota, Metazoa, Chordata, Mammalia, Rodentia, Muridae.
AGAUUUUGAGAACUGAACUUAUGUCCUUUUCAGAAGCAGCCAGUGCUCCUAGUCACUGGGCUUUCUCUCCAGUCCUUGUUUUGUUCUGUUUUGUUUCAGGUGGGACUAGAACUGGCUGCUGGCUGCUCUAAGUGUCCUUGUUCUUGCCGACAUAGGAUGUUUUCUGUGCACUUCUGUAUCCUGUUGCAGCUUUUAGGAAGUUACAAGCUUUUGCCAAGAAGAUGGGUGAAUCGAUACAACUUGAAAACAUAAGAUACUUGGAUCCCCUGUCCAUGAAAACCAGGAUAGACACUGACAUCAGAAUGCCUGCCAUCAAGAAGAAGGAAAGAGGAAGAAGAAUUAAAGACUACAGAGAAUGAUAAUAGUAAAUGAUCCAAUGUUAAUAAACCACACUAAUCAUA